This is a long non-coding RNA of Motacilla alba alba, 1178 nucleotides long. RefSeq lists it as uncharacterized. Lineage: Eukaryota; Metazoa; Chordata; Aves; Passeriformes; Motacillidae. The record is from RefSeq and is a predicted model, not a curated record. The transcript has 4 exons.
CGCCAUCCUGAAGAUGCAAUACCAAUUAUAUGUAAGGGACAAACAGGCUGAAUAUUUUUCUCGGACUUUGGAUCAGCUUUGACCUAGCUGUCACUGAGGCAGAAGCUAAUGAGUGUCUCCCAAGAUAAAAGGAAUAAAGUGACUAAAGAAUCAAAAGAAGCAUGACCAUCAGCAGUUCAAGGAAGGAGAUUCUGCCUCUCUAUUCUGCUCUCAUGAGACUCUACCUUGAGUACUGGAUCCAGUUCUGAGGUCCCCAACAUGGGAAGGAUACUUACCUGUUGAAGCAAAUCCAAAGAAAGGCUACCAAGUUGAUGAGAGGAAAUGCAAGCUGAUUUCACAGCAGUGGCAAAAGACACAUUUCUUAAUAUCUGGAAAAUACUUGGCAGUGUGAUAUGAUCCGUGUUUUCAAGGACAGAUCUUAAACUACACUUUCAAAAGGCAAAGACAUAAAUCAAUGGAAAGAUGUUCUUGUAAACUGGAUACAGCAGGUUUUCUGUCUCUUCCUUCUCUUCUAAUUUUAUAUGCUUUUCAAGUACCAAAUGGAAAUGCUGAUGUGAGUAAAGUUUUCUAAAGCAUAACUUUCAAGGCAAUAGAAAGAAUAAUAGCACACCUGGCUGACUUUCUAUUAACAUAUUGAUGAAACUAUAAACCAUCAGAAAUUUUUCUUCAACAAACUUUUAUUUAAUGCAAAUAUAGUUGUAUUCCUAUGAAAAUAUUCUUUCAUAAUCCAAAUUCAUUGCUAAUGAGCUAAUAAGGAAACACUACACGUUUUCAUUUUGUCAUUGCUGUUUUACUAAUAUAGAAAAUGUUUAUGUCAUUCCAGGGAAUUCUUAUCUUUGUUUGUGAACACCAGAUCUUCUGCCUGUAUAUGUGUAUAUGUGUUCAUGAAAUUGUCUGCAGGUUUGAAAUGUUCUCACUGAAGAGGGCAAAGGAAAGUUUUGUUAGACAACACACUUGAACAAGUCAAAAUUCUUUUUUUGAAAUUAUCCUCCCCUCCUUCUGCACUCCCCUAAUCUUGUUUCCAUUAUAUCAUCCAGCAUAUGGGAAAUUUUAUGCAGAUUAUGCAUAUAGCUAAUUUUCCGAUAGUGUCAUAUUUUCAUAUAACUUCUGGAAAAUCCUGAGAUUAAAAACCCCCAUAUUUUGUUUUUUGAGCAUCACCAUAUUAGGGCACUGUUUCU